Molecule: long non-coding RNA, 270 nt
Organism: Oryzias latipes (Japanese medaka)
Lineage: Eukaryota; Metazoa; Chordata; Actinopteri; Beloniformes; Adrianichthyidae
Source: RefSeq, a predicted model, not a curated record
ACAUCCAGAAAGAUUCAUUUGAGUGGUGGUCCACGCUGGUGUGUCAGUCAGCACACUCUGUUCACAUGUCCUUGAGAGGCAGCUGGCAUCCUUGACUCUCUGACUCAGCAGCCGAUUAUUCUGCCAGGAUGCCACUACAGGAUGAGAAGUAUUCUUCAAGUCAGCUGCACAUCAGGUGCUCUGUCAUCCUGAAAAGAUAUCCAGGAAUGUGGAGGGAAUAAAUCACAGCUGCUUUCACACUUGCUGCUUACAUUAAAAAGGAUUUGUUUC